GGGGGACUAGCUCAGAUGGUAGAGCGCUCGCUUAGCAUAAGCAACGUGAGCUUGUAAUAUGCGAGAGGCACGGGGAUCGAUACCCCGGUCCUCCA
This is a non-coding RNA of Borealophlyctis nickersoniae, 95 nucleotides long. The record is from the annotation of a GenBank genome assembly. NCBI's taxonomy places the organism in Eukaryota, Fungi, Chytridiomycota, Chytridiomycetes, Rhizophlyctidales, Borealophlyctidaceae.